Molecule: non-coding RNA, 61 nt
Organism: Myotis davidii
Lineage: Eukaryota; Metazoa; Chordata; Mammalia; Chiroptera; Vespertilionidae
Source: Rfam
GGACUGGCUUUAGCUCAGGGGUUCCUUUGGUUCAAGACCCCUGGUACCCUCCAGUUCUUAA